CCGCAACGAGCGCAACCCUUAUUGCUAGUUACCAUUCAUUAAAUUUGGGGGAACGUCUAGCGAGACUGCCAGUGAUAAAACUGGAGGAAGGUGGGGAGUGACGUCAAAUCAUCAUGCCCCUUAUGACCUGGGCUACAAACGUGAUACAAUGGCUGAAACAAAGGGCAGCGAAGCAGUGAUGUGAAGCGAAACCCAAAAAAGCAGUCUCAGUUCGGAUUGAAGUCUGCAACUCGACUUCAUGAAGUCGGAAUCGCUAGUAAUCGCGAAUCAGAACGUCGCGGUGAAUACGUUCUCGGGGUUU
Molecule: ribosomal RNA, 301 nt
Filed under: uncultured Acholeplasma sp.
Lineage: Bacteria; Bacillati; Mycoplasmatota; Mollicutes; Acholeplasmatales; Acholeplasmataceae
Description: bacterial SSU rRNA
Rfam family: Bacterial small subunit ribosomal RNA
Source: RNAcentral